This 440-nucleotide ribosomal RNA is filed under the name uncultured bacterium. Its description in RNAcentral is "bacterial SSU rRNA". It matches the Rfam family "Bacterial small subunit ribosomal RNA", at positions 338 to 777 of the family's 1533-position model. The record is from RNAcentral.
CCUACGGGUGGCAGCAGUGAGGAAUAUUGCGCAAUGGGCGAAAGCCUGACGCAGCCACGCCGCGUGCAGGAAGACACCCCUCUGGGGCGUAAACUGCUUUUGUGCGAGAAGAAGGCCCUCCUCGGGAGGGAUUGACGGUACCGCACGAAUAAGGACCGGCUAACUCCGUGCCAGCAGCCGCGGUAAUACGGAGGGUCCAAGCGUUGUCCGGAAUCACUGGGUGUAAAGGGUGCGUAGGCGGAUUUGUAAGUCAGAGGUGAAAGCCCACGGCUUAACCGUGGAACUGCCUUUGAUACUGCAAGUCUUGAGUCCUGGAGGGGCUGGCGGAAUUCGUGGUGUAGCGGUGAAAUGCGUAGAUAUCACGAGGAACACCGGAGGUGUAGACGGCCAGCUGGACAGGUACUGACGCUGAGGCACGAAAGCGUGGGGAGCGAACAGGA